RNAcentral lists this non-coding RNA (307 nucleotides) under Yersinia aleksiciae. Lineage: Bacteria; Pseudomonadati; Pseudomonadota; Gammaproteobacteria; Enterobacterales; Yersiniaceae. The record is from RNAcentral.
CUGUGAUGUGUGUCACAUAAAAAUAAUGAUAUCUACAGGAGCAACUUAUGAAAUUAAUCAACAAAGUUAUCGCAAUGUUUGAAAAAAUGAGUGUUUCAUUCGGUACUAUCAACGGAUAAUAGUUUUAUUAAUAUUCUAUAGCGCGCAACAAUGCUCUGGAUCGGUUUGAGUAUAGAGUCAAAGACGCUAUGUCUAUCAAAAACUAACAGUGAAAUUCGAUAAACAUGAGACUAUCUGUUCAUCGGAUUUCAUAUUAUCUUUACGAUGUUUCGCUUUUUUAUUGAGAUUAGUCCUAGGUGUCUAACCU